AGAAUCAACGCUGGCGGCGUGCCUAACACAUGCAAGUCGCACGAAAAAGGGUAGCAAUACCUGAGUACAGUGGCGCACGGGUGAGUAACACGUGAAUGAUCUACCUCCGAGUGGGGAAUAACUGAGAGAAAUCUUAGCUAAUACCGCAUAAUACCCACGGGUCAAAGCAGCAAUGCGCUUGGAGAGGAGUUCGCGGCCGAUUAGUUAGUUGGCGGGUAAUGGCCCACCAAGACGAUGAUCGGUA
This 244-nucleotide ribosomal RNA is filed under the name uncultured bacterium. RNAcentral's name for it is "partial small subunit ribosomal RNA". It matches the Rfam family "Bacterial small subunit ribosomal RNA", at positions 26 to 285 of the family's 1533-position model. The record is from RNAcentral.